UAACAGCCUACCAAGGCGACGACGGGUAGCCGGCCUGAGAGGGCGACCGGCCACACUGGGACUGAAACACAGCUUAUACUCCUACGGGAGGCAGCAGUGGGGAAUAUUGGACAAUGGGCGCAAGCCUGAUCCAGCCAUGCCGCGUGAGUGAUGAAGGCCCUAGGGUUGUAAAGCUCUUUUGUGCGGGAAGAUAAUGACGGUACCGCAAGAAUAAGCCCCGGCUUACUUCGUGCCAGCAGCCGCGGUAAUACGAAGGGGGCUAGCGUUGUUCGGAAUCACUGGGCGUAAAGCGCACGCAGGCGGAUUGAUAAGUCAGGGGUGAAAUCCCGGAGCUCAACUUCGGAAUUGCCUUUGAUACUGUCUAUCUUCUAGUUCGGGAGAGGUUGGCGGAAUUCCUAGUGUAGAGGUGAAAAUU
RNAcentral lists this ribosomal RNA (415 nucleotides) under uncultured soil bacterium. RNAcentral describes it as "bacterial SSU rRNA". It matches the Rfam family "Bacterial small subunit ribosomal RNA", at positions 258 to 688 of the family's 1533-position model. The record is from RNAcentral.